UACGGAGGGUGCAAGCGUUAUUCGGAAUUACUGGGCGUAAAGCGAGUGUAGGCGGUUUUGUAAGUCUGAUGUGAAAGCCCUCGACUCAAUCGAGGAAGUGCAUUGGAUACUGCAAGGCUAGAGGAUAGGAGAGGAGAACGGAAUUCCUGGUGUAGAGGUGAAAUUCGUAGAUAUCAGGAGGAACAACGAUGGCGAAGGCAGUUCUCUGGACUAUUACUGACGCUAAGACUCGAAAGCGUGGGGAGCAAACAGG
This 253-nucleotide ribosomal RNA is filed under the name uncultured bacterium. RNAcentral's name for it is "partial 16S ribosomal RNA". It matches the Rfam family "Bacterial small subunit ribosomal RNA", at positions 524 to 776 of the family's 1533-position model. The record is from RNAcentral.